UGGUUGCUGUCGUGGGGAGAUGUGUGU
Molecule: non-coding RNA, 27 nt
Filed under: Mus musculus (house mouse)
Lineage: Eukaryota; Metazoa; Chordata; Mammalia; Rodentia; Muridae
Source: RNAcentral